RNAcentral lists this long non-coding RNA (319 nucleotides) under Malus domestica (apple). RNAcentral describes it as "long non-coding RNA (MDOM_LNC012751)". Lineage: Eukaryota; Viridiplantae; Streptophyta; Magnoliopsida; Rosales; Rosaceae. The record is from RNAcentral.
CGUGAGGUUCGCUUGGCGACGUCCUCCUCUGUUCUCCUCACCACUGCGCCGCUGCCUACAACUCCAGCUCUGCCACGACCGGCAACCAUCGUCACAACAGCUGCGGUAGUCGCGAGCAGGACUCUUCAUCACCAUCUCUGCAGCUCUCCCCUUCUGCCCAUCAGUUCCAAGCAGCAACGGCGACGGCAAAGUCUCCGACAUCAAGGCUGCACCGCUCUUCUCUUGCAUCCUCCUCCGUCUCUUGCCUCACAGCUGCCAACAACUUCAAAGACUGCUGUCAAACGACUAGCCGGCCGAGAAUCUCUUCCUCAAACUCGAG